Molecule: ribosomal RNA, 393 nt
Filed under: uncultured bacterium
Lineage: Bacteria
Description: partial 16S ribosomal RNA
Rfam family: Bacterial small subunit ribosomal RNA
Source: RNAcentral
AUACGGAAGGUCCGGGCGUUAUCCGGAUUUAUUGGGUUUAAAGGGAGCGCAGGCGGAGAUGCAAGCGUGACGUCAAAUUUCGGGGCUCAACCCCGUCUCGCGUCGCGAACUGCGUCCCUUGGUUGCGGGAAGGGGAGGCGGAACUCGUGGUGUAGCGGUGAAAUGCAUAGAUAUCCCGAAGAACUCCGAUCGCGAAGGCAGCCUUCCGGCCCGUCAACGACGCUCAUGCUCGAAGGUGCGGGUAUCAAACAGGAUUAGAUACCCUGGUAGUCCGCACAGUAAACGAUGGACACCCGCGGUUUGGCCUGUAUGGCUGAGCCGCCAAGCGAAAGCGUUAAGUGUCCCACCUGGGGAGUACGCCGGCAACGGUGAAACUCAAAGGAAUUGACGGGG